CCCCUGGUGGUCCAGUGGUUAGGACUCGACACUUCCACUGCAGAAGCCGAGGUUCAAUCCCUGGUCAGGAAA
RNAcentral lists this transfer RNA (72 nucleotides) under Bos taurus (domestic cattle). It matches the Rfam family "tRNA". Rfam says of the family: Transfer RNA (tRNA) molecules are approximately 80 nucleotides in length. Their secondary structure includes four short double-helical elements and three loops (D, anti-codon, and T loops). RNAcentral also lists the same sequence under 1 other name. The record is from Rfam by way of RNAcentral. Lineage: Eukaryota; Metazoa; Chordata; Mammalia; Artiodactyla; Bovidae.